AAAACACCCCUCCCUGAUUACAGUACUCCUAGAUAUUUUGCCUUCUCCUAACAAUAUAUAAGACCUUGAGGCUCUUUUUGUAGGGACAAAAAAUUGGAAAUCGAAUGGACGCCCAUCAGCUGCAGAAUGGCUCAAUAAUUACAGCAAAUGAAUAUAAUGGAGAAUUAUUGUUCCCUAACAAAUGAAGAGCAGACCAAUUUCAGAAAAUCCUGGAAAGACUUAUAUGAACUGAUGCAGAGUGAAGUGAGCAGAACCAGGAGAACAUUGUACACAGUAACAAGAAGAUUAUGUGAUGAUCAAUUGUGAUGGACUUGGUUCUUCUCAGCAAUAUUGUGAUUCAAGAUGACUCCAAAAGACUUGGGAUGAAAAAGGCCCUCCACAUCCACAGAGAAAACUAUAGAGACUGAAUAUAGAUUGAAGCAUAAUAUUUUCCACUUUUUGUUCAUUUACUUUCUCGUGUUUUUCCCCUUUUGGUCUGAUUUUUCUUGCACAACAUGAGAAACAUGAAAAUUUGUUUAAAAGAAUUGCACAUAUUUAACCUUUCUCAGAUUUUCUGUCUUGGGGAAGGUUGAGAUGAGGGAAGGAGGAAAAAAAAUUCAAAAUACAAGGUCUUACAAAAAUGAACAUUGAAAACUAUAUUUACAGGUAUUUUGGGGGAAAAUAAAAUACUAUUCAGGAAAAAAAGAAAGAAAUGAGCAUGAUGGUUUAGUUCUGCUUCCUUUAUACUUUUCAGUUCUAAGAGUAGGAUUCAGAGUAUUGAACUAGGGAGCUCAGUCCAUAGGGAUCUUGGGACUCGGAUUCCAGGCCAAAUGUGGCUGACAAGCGAAAGAAGUUCAAAAAGGCAACAGUCCUAGGACACAAAGCCAGAAAGAGCUUUGGACUUGAACUUGAUAAUACUAAUGCUAUGUAGAAAUUAAAUUAAUCUAUAAACCAGACUCUUCCUCAGAAUCCAAAGUAGAAUAAGGAGAGAUUUACAGUCUAUAGGUAUUAAAAGUGGUUGCAUAUUUGCUCAUUGUGCUUUUGAAGUAAGUAAUCCUUUAUUAAAAAAAAAAAAAAAAAACAAUCAACAAUCUGACUGGUAAGUGUUAACAGAUUUUUAGACCCAUAAAAUGGGGAGGAGCAUAACUGGUGAAGAAUCAAUUAAUAAUUGUCUUAAGCUCCUUACUAUAUGUCAGGUGCUAUUAAUCACUGGAGAUUUUUAAAAAUACAGCAUCUGCCUUCAUAUAACUUUCAAUCUAAUGGAAAGACAACAAUGCAAAGAAAUGUAUAUGAAUUAUAGGCGGGAAGAGUAGGAAAUAAUUAAAAAAGGGAAGGCACCGGGAAUAAGAGGGGUUAGGAAAUGUGGGAGCCAACAGCAGAAUUUGGAGAUUUCUCCAUCUCCUUACAAUGGGAAAAAGGGAAGAAUGUAACUCACCGGACCAUCAGAGAGUAAGAUUUAGAGAAAAUACUAUUACAUAAGAACUAAUAAUUGUCAAAUAUUUAGAGAAGUCCACACAUGAUCUGAGAUGAGCUAAUACAGAGUCAAAUAUAACCAUGAAAACAAUAGACAUAAUUACUCCCAUUUAAUUAAAUAGAUAGAGUGAAAAAAUGGAAGCAAAAAAUUUAUACUUACACUGAACCAAGCUUGAGCCAAAGAUGGUGCAAGGCUCUACCUUCCCUUCUUUGCAGAGUUGGCAGACCAUGAAUAUGAAAAAUUGUACAUAGAAGCAAAUCAGGUUAACACCUUAGCUGUAUCACUAAGAUGUAUUUUUUUUUUCUCCUUCUGUAAAAUCCUGUGCUGUUGUGAUACAGGAGCCACCUGCUAGUGUCUUUUCGAGGU
RNAcentral lists this long non-coding RNA (1819 nucleotides) under Sarcophilus harrisii (Tasmanian devil). Its description in RNAcentral is "lncRNA (ENSSHAG00000027008.1)". Lineage: Eukaryota; Metazoa; Chordata; Mammalia; Dasyuromorphia; Dasyuridae. The record is from RNAcentral.